GGGUGAGAGGGAAGGAGAGGCAGCAGCCUGCGUCCCAACAAGUCUGCCAGCGAGUUCCUAUGCAUCUCAAGUCUGAGAACCACACACCAGCAGCCCCCAGCCCUGAUCACAGACAGCCCCUGGCUCCUGUCAGCUUUUCAGGAGCCCGGCCAGCCCGGACAGGUGGAGGUCACAGGCGGAGUCUCUCACCUCCCCAGGUCUGCGCUGGAGUGGGCCCCGUCCCUCCUUUCCUCAGCUCCUCCCCACCCCUGGUUGCCACCUGGUUUCACUUUACUUGCAGGCCAGCCGAGGAGCCAGGGCUCCCUGAGUCUCAGCUUAUGCUCAGCCUUCUGACUCCUGUCAAGGUGGUGGGGAGGGGUGUGUGGGCCCAGAGCCAGGGCGCUUCUGAACCCGUCUCCCUGUGCCGCGCUUCUCCCUCUUCGGCGCCCCUGAGUCCUGGGCCGGGGGCUCUCUUUUCCAUGUCACAGCCCUCUGGGGGUAAGGCCCCAUCUCCCAACUCCUGGGACUGGAGGAGCUUGAGAAUGUAAUGCGACCUUGCGGGAGGGGACACAGUUUCUCCCCCCACCUUUGGUGCUGGGCUGCCCUCCUCACCCCUCACUCUGACCACAGUGGGGUAUCGGUUCACCCCACUCUUCCCCAUCGCCCACCCUCAGCUCCUGCCUCCUCCAGGUCUCUCCCUGUGCCUGUGCCCUGCCCCAGCCUGGCGGUAGGUGAUUCCCAUCCUCUAGCCCAGCCUGUGCCCUGCCCCAGCCUGGCGGUAGGUGAUUCCCAUCUUCUAGUCCAGCCUCCACAGGAGGAAGAGGCGGAGGGGCAUUUCCAACAUGAUUCUCAACCUUUCUAUCCAUGUAUAUUAACACCAGGCCUGCCGGCGCUCACAGAAAGAACCUGAUUUGGAAACAAACACACAAGCCCUGGAGGCUGACCAGUUUGUGAGCUUUUCAGUCCCACCCUUAGCACCCUGACGCUCACUCCAGGCAAUGUGGGUGAUUAUCAGGAGCAGCAGCUGCAGCUGGGACUCUGUGCCCACCACUCUCGUGUGACCCUCAGCAGACACCCAACCUCUCUGAGCAUCGGCCUCUCAGCUGGGAAACCUCAGCCUCCCAGGGACUGUGCCAGACCCCCCACCCAUUCCCCCGAAGACUCCAGUGUGGACCGAGAACCGCAAGGACCCCCCACCCAUUCCCCUGAAGACUCCAGUGUGGACCGAGAACCGCAAGGACCCCCCACCCAUUCCCCCAAAGACUCCAGUGUGGACCGAGAACCACAAGGACCCCCCCCACCCAUUCCCCCGGAGACUCCAGUGUGGACCGAGAACCGCAGGACCCCCAGCCAUUCCCCCAAAGAUUCCAGUGUGGACCGAGAACUGCAACCCAGAAAUAGGCAUCUCUGUUGAUCAGACUGUCUCACAUGGAGACUCGAGGGCAAGACUGACCUGCCCUCAGGAUGCCUAGGAUUCCCACCACAGGGGAACAGGCCAGUUUGAUCCAGAAAUUCCAGGCAAGGCUGGGUGUGAUGGUUCAUGCCUGUAAUCCCAGCACUUCGGGAAGCUGAGGCGGAAGGAUGGUUUGAGCUCAGGAGUUGAAGACCAGUGAGGGCAAUAUAGGGAAAUCCCAUCUCAACAAAAAAUUUACAACUCAGCCAGGCAUGGUGGCACCCACCUCUAGUCCCAGCUACUCAGGAGGCCGAAGCGGUAGGAUUGCCUGAGCCGGGGAGUUCAAGGCUACAGUGAGCCGUGAUCUCGCCACUGCCCUCC
This is a long non-coding RNA of Macaca fascicularis (crab-eating macaque), 1753 nucleotides long. NCBI's taxonomy places the organism in Eukaryota, Metazoa, Chordata, Mammalia, Primates, Cercopithecidae. The record is from Ensembl.